Molecule: long non-coding RNA, 2711 nt
Organism: Varanus komodoensis (Komodo dragon)
Lineage: Eukaryota; Metazoa; Chordata; Lepidosauria; Squamata; Varanidae
Exons: 2
Source: RefSeq, a predicted model, not a curated record
GCGGCUCUCCUACCACGAGGCGCACCGCCUCUCCUUCCCGCGCGUUCUCUCUCGUGUCCGCUCGCGCGGUCUCCGGCUGCAAUCGCAUCCGCGCUGAUUGAGGGCUGCGGGGCUGCCUUCGGUGAGCGCGGCCGUGGGGGUCGGACUCUGAGAGGUCUCCUUUUGCGAGCAAACCUGCCGGGUGCCUCUUUUAAGGACGGCAGGAGUCGUUACGGUUCACCAUCGGACCUCGGAUCUAGAAGGCUGGAGAGCUUAGAAGUUUGAGCACGGAGUAGGAUGAAGAAUACUGUACUGAGCAUUGCAGUCAAUUGCAUUUUGCCAUCCAGAGAUUGUCAAACAAGGCUUAAGGAUUUCUUUUGAAAGGAAAAACUUCUGAGAAGCCUUUAGAUGAACAAACUUAUAUGAAGCAAUUGCCCCCUUUUUAAAAAAGGGGCCACUUUGAAAACAGCCACCAUCUCCUAAGUGAAGAAACUGCACUGUGGGAUGAGGUAGUAGGUUGUAUAGUUUUAGGGUCAUACCCACCACUGGGAGAUAACUAUACAGUCUACUGUCUUUCCUAAAGAGGCAGACGGUCAUCCAUGACAUCUGUAUUACUUUGGUACUGGAAGUAUGGUUAAAUAUGAAGGCAUUGCAGUAGUUCCCAGAACAGUAAGCUGGUUGAAUUAUUCAGUGGGCACACUUUGCAAGACGUGUGGGCUCAGAGAGUUGGAUCCCAAGAGCCAUGAGCAGAAAGAAGCUUAUGGAAGGGACUAUCUUUUUACCUCCACACUCAUGCCCAAUAAAGAGCCUUUGAGGUGAUUGCAGAUCCUCCUGAAUAGUUAAAGGAACUUGAUGAGAAACAGGUAUCAUAUGGAAUCAGGUGAAAGCACCUUUUGGAUGCAAGUUCUGCUUGCAGAAGGUGCCUCUGGCCUAUCUUCCUUUCCCCAAUAAUCCUGCUGCCCUUAGACAGUUUAGGAAGGUUGCUUGACCAUCCAGACAGGCUUUUCAUGGUGUGUUUGUUUAUUUCCAGCCUGUUUUCCCAGCUCUUCAUAGAAAAAGCUCCCCCAGAGUAUGUUACUAUUAAUCUUUCUAAGCAAAUCUCUGCCCUUGGGCUCAUAAUCUGAAAGUUACAAUAUAUAGUUAAACAUGAUGUAGUGAUGGCCAAUUUGGACAGCUUUCAAAAGAGAUUGGACUAAUUCACGGAGAAUAAGUCUAUCAAUGGCUACUUGUCCUGAUGACUUGGUAUCAGAGGCAGUAUGCCUGUGUACACCAGUUGUUGUGAAUCAUAGGCAGGAGCAUACUAUUGUACUCAUGCCCUGCUUAUGGGAUUCUGUGGGCAAUGGCUAGCCACUGUAUUAACAGAAUGCUGGACUAGAUAGACCAUUGCUGUGAUAUAGAAUGGCUGUUAUGCUCAAAAAGUAAAGAGGUUAAAAGGAAGAAGCAAAAAAGCAAAACAUGGGCACCAGAUAGGAGGAGAAAGGUGUUAAGUCCCUUUCAGUGAGUGGCUCUCAGGAUCCAACCCAAAAAGCAGAAUUUAGAACUAAACAGAUUUCUCUUAUCAGGUUGAGGUAGUAGAUUGUAUAGUUGUAGGGCAGUUAUUUUGCCCUCUUCAGGAGAUAACUAUACAAUCUAUUGCCUUCCCUGAGGAGUAAAAUUUCUGCAGUAUUCUACUUAGUGAAUUACUAGCAACCUUGGCUUCUAAUGGUCAAUAAAUGUGUUGGUUUUCAUAGAAGAACUGUAACUAAAUGCUGUUUUGUAUUUCAGCAUUAAAUUAAUAUGUCAGCAUGAAAAAAUACUAGGCAGGGGAGGCCAUAUUUCAGUAGAGAUAUUCUUAACUUCUGAUACUUGCAUAGUGAAGAACUCUGGUCUACUGUUUUAUGAGGACAACCAUCUCAUUGAUGUAAUCUCGUAUUUUCUACCAGCAUGUAAACCACAUACAAAUGAUUGCAAAGGUCAUUCCAAUUACUCCUCUGAAGGAUAUACCUUCUCUCUUGAUGAAUGAGGUGGGUGUGAUAGGUUUGUGUAUUAGUUCACUGUCAACUGAGGAGUCUGCUAUUUGCAAGAAUGUACCAUUUGGUUUUAGUGAAGCUGAAAUUGUAAAAGUAUAAUUUGCUUUGUUUUUAGGUUGAAUAUUUCUGUUAUGAAAAUUGAACACUGUGUUCUGUUCAUAAUUAUGUAGUACAUGUUUCACUUUUGCACUUACAUAAACAUGCUUUUUGAUACUGAUAUUUGAUAUACUUUGAUGUCUGCAUAAAGUUGGUCUUGUACUACAGCUACAUUUUUUUUAAAGAAUUGCAGAAGAAGUGGUGGGUUCCUAGGAAGAGGUAGUAGGUUGCAUAGUUUUAGGGCAGUGGUUUUGCCCACAAGGAGUUAACUAUACAACCUGCUGCCUUUCUUAGGGCUUUAAUAUUACAACAGGAUCUCACUGGUUCAUUUUAAAUCUUCCUCUGCCAGGCUUCUGUACAGUGUUUUCAGGAUGCUUUUAGAAAUGCUUUGUCCACUGGCCUGAGUACAACAAAUCAUGUGGGAAUAUCAUAAACUAUGCUAUAGCUAAUGGAACUGUAUUGUUCACUCACUUGCUAAGAGAUGUGUGAUACAGGGUAUUUAAAAAAUACAUAUCUACAGUAGGUGGGGAAGAGUGGUAAUUCUGAAGUCUGCUUUAAAGCCUAGGACAAAGGUGCUACUUGCUCUUGUACGUUAAAAGCUAUAUAAUAAAGCAAGCUUAAACUAAA